RNAcentral lists this ribosomal RNA (46 nucleotides) under Sedecimiella taiwanensis. Its description in RNAcentral is "partial 28S ribosomal RNA". Lineage: Eukaryota; Fungi; Ascomycota; Sordariomycetes; Hypocreales. The record is from RNAcentral.
UUGACCUCGGAUCAGGUAGGAAUACCCGCUGAACUUAAGCAUAUCC